RNAcentral lists this ribosomal RNA (497 nucleotides) under uncultured bacterium. Its description in RNAcentral is "partial 16S ribosomal RNA". It matches the Rfam family "Bacterial small subunit ribosomal RNA", at positions 28 to 507 of the family's 1533-position model. The record is from RNAcentral.
GAUGAACGCUGGCGGCGUGCCUAAUACAUGCAAGUCGAGCGAACAGAUGAGGAGCUUGCUCCUCUGACGUUAGCGGCGGACGGGUGAGUAACACGUGGAUAACCUACCUAUAAGACUGGGAUAACUUCGGGAAACCGGAGCUAAUACCGGAGAAUAUAUUGAACCGCAUGGUUCAAUAGUGAAAGACGGUUUUGCUGUCACUUAUAGAUGGAUCCGCGCCGCAUUAGCUAGUUGGUAAGGUAACGGCUUACCAAGGCAACGAUGCGUAGCCGACCUGAGAGGGUGAUCGGCCACACUGGAACUGAGACACGGUCCAGACUCCUACGGGAGGCAGCAGUAGGGAAUCUUCCGCAAUGGGCGAAAGCCUGACGGAGCCACGCCGCGUGAGUGAUGAAGGUCUUCGGAUCGUAAAACUCUUUUAUUAGGGAAGAACAACUGUGUAAGUAACUCUGCCCGUCUUGACGGUACCUAAUCAGAAAGCCACGGCUAACUACGUG